This 332-nucleotide ribosomal RNA is filed under the name uncultured bacterium. RNAcentral describes it as "bacterial SSU rRNA". It matches the Rfam family "Bacterial small subunit ribosomal RNA", at positions 568 to 898 of the family's 1533-position model. The record is from RNAcentral.
CGCGUAGGCGGUGCGGUAAGUCUUCUGUGAAACCUCUGGGCUUAACUCAGAGCCUGCAGGGGAAACUGCCGGGCUGGAGUGUGGGAGAGGCGAGUGGAAUUCCCGGUGUAGCGGUGAAAUGCGUAGAUAUCGGGGGGAACACCAGUGGCGAAGGCGGCUCGCUGGACCACAACUGACGCUGAGGCGCGAAAGCUAGGGGAGCAAACAGGAUUAGAUACCCUGGUAGUCCUAGCCUUAAACGAUGAAUGCUUGGUGUGAUCGGUAUCCAAUCCGAUUGUGCCGCAGUUAACGCGAUAAGCAUUCCGCCUGGGGAGUACGGUCGCAAGGCUGAA